Molecule: ribosomal RNA, 252 nt
Filed under: uncultured bacterium
Lineage: Bacteria
Description: partial 16S ribosomal RNA
Rfam family: Bacterial small subunit ribosomal RNA
Source: RNAcentral
UACGUAGGUUGCUAGCGUUGUCCGGAAUUAUUGGGCGUAAAGGGGGCGCAGGCGGAGCUUUAAGCGAAUCUUAAAAGUGCGGGGCUUAACGCCGUGAUGGGUUUCGAACGGGAGUUCUUGAGUGCAGGAGAGGAAAGUGGAAUUCCCAGUGUAGCGGUGAAAUGCGUAGAUAUUGGGAAGAACACCAGUGGCGAAGGCGGCUUUCUGGACUGUAACUGACGCUGAGGCUCGAAAGCCAGGGUAGCGAACGGG